GACGAACGCUGGCGGCGUGCUUAACACAUGCAAGUCGAACGGAAAGGCCCUGCUUUUGUGGGGUGCUCGAGUGGCGAACGGGUGAGUAACACGUGAGUAACCUGCCCUUGACUUUGGGAUAACUUCAGGAAACUGGGGCUAAUACCGGAUAGGAGCUCCUGCUGCAUGGUGGGGGUUGGAAAGUUUCGGCGGUUGGGGAUGGACUCGCGGCUUAUCAGCUUGUUGGUGGGGUAGUGGCUUACCAAGGCUUUGACGGGUAGCCGGCCUGAGAGGGUGAACGGCCACAUUAGGACUGAGAUACGGCCCAGACUCCUACGGGAGGCAGCAGUGGGGAAUAUUGCAAAAUGGGCGGAAGAAUGAUGCAGCAACGCAGCGUGCGGGAUGACGGACUUCGGGUUGUAAACCGAUUUCGCCUGUGACGAAGCGUGAGUGACGGUAAUGGGUAAAGAAGAACCGGCUAACUACGUG
This 468-nucleotide ribosomal RNA is filed under the name uncultured bacterium. RNAcentral describes it as "partial 16S ribosomal RNA". It matches the Rfam family "Bacterial small subunit ribosomal RNA", at positions 28 to 507 of the family's 1533-position model. The record is from RNAcentral.